CCUACGGGGGGCUGCAGUGGGGAAUAUUGCGCAAUGGGCGAAAGCCUGAAGCAGCGACGCCGCGUGAGGGAUGAAGGUCUUCGGAGCGGAAACCUCUGUCAGUAGGGAAGAACGGUCACUGUGCUAAUCAGCAGUGAAUUGACGGUACCUGCAAAGGAAGCACCGGCAAACUCCGUGCCAGCAGCCGCGGUAAUACGGAGGGUGCGAGCGUUACUCGGAUUUAUUGGGUUUAAGGGGUGCGUAGGCGGUUUUUUAAGUUCGGGGUUAAACGUCGGGGCUUCACCUUGAUUUGCCAUUAAUACUGUAAGCCUCGAGUUCAGACGAGGUAGGCGGAAUGAGUUGCGUAGCGGUGAAAUGCUUAGAUAUAACUUAGAACUCCGAUCGCGAAGGCAGCUUACCAGACUGCGACUGACGCUGAGGCACGAAAGCGUGGGUAGCGAACAGGAUUAGAUACCCUAGUAGUC
RNAcentral lists this ribosomal RNA (464 nucleotides) under uncultured bacterium. RNAcentral's name for it is "partial 16S ribosomal RNA". It matches the Rfam family "Bacterial small subunit ribosomal RNA", at positions 338 to 795 of the family's 1533-position model. The record is from RNAcentral.